CAGCCGCCGCGGUAAUACGAGGGGGGCAAGCGUUGUUCGGAAUUAUUGGGCGUAAAGGGCGCGUAGGCGGUUUGGCAAGUUUGGUGUGAAAUCUUCGGGCUCAACUCGAAGUCUGCAUCGAAAACUGCCGGGCUUGAGUAUGGGAGAGGUGAGUGGAAUUUCCGGUGUAGCGGUGAAAUGCGUAGAUAUCGGAAGGAACACCUGUGGCGAAAGCGGCUCACUGGACCAUUACUGACGCUGAGGCGCGAAAGCUAGGGGGGCAAACAGGAUUAGAUACCCGAGUAGUCCCUGUCUCUUAUAC
RNAcentral lists this ribosomal RNA (301 nucleotides) under uncultured bacterium. RNAcentral describes it as "partial 16S ribosomal RNA". It matches the Rfam family "Bacterial small subunit ribosomal RNA", at positions 509 to 807 of the family's 1533-position model. The record is from RNAcentral.